UGACGAGAAAGCCAACUCCACCUUGUCC
Molecule: small RNA, 28 nt
Filed under: Bombyx mori (domestic silkworm)
Lineage: Eukaryota; Metazoa; Arthropoda; Insecta; Lepidoptera; Bombycidae
Description: ovarian small RNA-8120
Source: RNAcentral